AUUCAAUCUCCUUGUGCCUUGAUUUCCUUAUCAAUAAGUGAUUUGUUUUUAAAGAAGGAUUCACAAGCAAACAUAUCUGGUUUUUUUGUUUGUUUGUUUUUGAGACAGAGUCUCGCUCUGUUGUCCAGGCUGGAGUGCAGUGAUGCGAUCUUGACUCACUGCAACCUCCGCCUCCCAGGAGUUCAAGCGAUCCUCCUGCCUCAGUCUUCCGAGUAGCUGGGACUACAGGCAUGUGCCACCACACCCAGCUACUAUUUUUGUAUUUUUUUGUAGAGAUGGUUUCGCCAUGUUGGCCAGGCUGGUCUUGAACCCUUGACCUCAGGUGAUCCACCAGCCUCGGCCUCACAAAGUGCUGGGAUUACAGGUAUGAGCCACCACGCCCAGCCUGCAAACAUAUGUUGAACUCUUUGCACAGUGCCCUGCAUGAGAUAGAUGACAGCUCCUUCUUCCAUGUUGUUAAUUUGGUGUGAGUAUAUGUUAUAUGUAUGUAUAUGCAAGAUAAUAAUCUUCUUGUAACCACUGACAGGCCUUUUUGUGAAUGAUGAUGGAAAAAGCAAGAACCUUGUCCAGGUUCCUCUCCAGGGAGCAGGGGUGGGUUGUGAUUCUUGAUUUCAUUCCUUUAGAUAUGAAGAGUUUUCACACAGAGGCAGCACGAAUUUGUCUCUCUCCUAGAGGGUGGGGAGAGUUGCUGGGUGGAUAUAACUGCAUCACAGCCUUUCUGGGUAAACUGGCCACUCCCUACUGAUUUGUUAUCAUGCUAAAUGUGUCUCCUCCCUUCCUUUCUGGAGCUUUUGCAGCUGUUCCUGGAAGGAGACCCAGUUGAAAGGGGUUGUUAUGGACCAGGAACAGCUGGGAUCUUUAAUGAUCUGUGAGCAGCUUACAGCAAAGUUCCAACACCCUGAGUAUCAGUCCCCAAAUCCUUGGUCUUUGCAUUCCAACACAAAGUAAAAAGGAUUGAGCAGGGUUUUGGUUUUGGUUGCAAGUAACAGAAACCCAACGCUAAUUAAUAAACGGGAAAGUGUGUCAGUGGAAAUGUAAGUAAGAAGAGAUUUCAUUUACUGGCCAAUUCAAAAGAUGACAAGCUUUAGGCGUGGCUCAGUCCAGUGGCUCAUGAUGUCUUCAGGACUCAGUGUUUCUCUGUUGUCAUCUCUUAGUUCUAUUAUUUUUUCUGUGUUGGUUCAUUAUGAGGUUUCCUUUAGAGGGUGGCAGAGAAAGCCACUAGUUGCUUCAAGUCUUUAUUUUACCAGCUCCACAAGUCCGACGGAAAGAGAAAACUGCUUUCCCAAAGGGUGUAAGAGGAUGAAAGGCAUGUCAUCAGCUGAAUUGCAUCAGGUGUCCAUCUUGGAAUCAAUCACGGUGCCUCUUAUUAGCAAAGCCUGAGUCAUAGCCAGCAAGAAAACAGGGACCUUAAUCUUACGACCACAAGGAACUGGACUCUGCUACCAGAAUGAGCUGCAAGGGAGAUUCUUCCUCAGAAGCUUCAGAUAAGAACUCCACCUGGCUGACCUUUGAUUUUGGUUUUGUGAGAACUUUGGCAGAUAACCCAGGCAUGUGUCAUUUCACAUCUGCAUAAAAAGACAUGCUGAAGGAUGUUCCUUGCAGAAUGGUUAUAGAGAAAAAUGGGAAUAACCACGAUAUAAAGUAACAGGGAAAUGGAUGAAGCUGGAAACCAUCAAUCUCAGCAAAGUAACACAGGAACAGAAAACCAAAUACUGCAUGUUCUCACUCAUAAGUGGGAGUUGAACAAUGAGGACACAUGGACACAGGGAGGGGAACAUCACACACUGGGGCCUGUAAGGGGGUGGGAGGCUAGGGGAGGGAUUGCAUUAGCAGAGAUACCUAAUGUAAAUGACGGGUUGAUAGGUGCAGGAAACCACCAUGGC
This 1883-nucleotide long non-coding RNA is filed under the name Homo sapiens (human). RNAcentral's name for it is "HSALNT0142523". Lineage: Eukaryota; Metazoa; Chordata; Mammalia; Primates; Hominidae. The record is from RNAcentral.